RNAcentral lists this ribosomal RNA (737 nucleotides) under uncultured Corynebacterium sp. Its description in RNAcentral is "bacterial SSU rRNA". It matches the Rfam family "Bacterial small subunit ribosomal RNA", at positions 28 to 776 of the family's 1533-position model. The record is from RNAcentral. Lineage: Bacteria; Bacillati; Actinomycetota; Actinomycetes; Mycobacteriales; Corynebacteriaceae.
GACGAACGCUGGCGGCGUGCUUAACACAUGCAAGUCGAACGGAGAGGCCUGCAGCUUGCUGCGGGUACUCGAGUGGCGAACGGGUGAGUAACACGUGGGUGAUCUGCCUUGCACUUCGGGAUAAGCUUGGGAAACUGGGUCUAAUACCGGAUAGGACAGCUGUUUAGUGUCAGUUGUGGAAAGUUUUUUCGGUGCAAGAUGAGCUCGCGGCCUAUCAGCUUGUUGGUGGGGUAAUGGCCUACCAAGGCGUCGACGGGUAGCCGGCCUGAGAGGGUGUACGGCCACAUUGGGACUGAGAUACGGCCCAGACUCCUACGGGAGGCAGCAGUGGGGAAUAUUGCACAAUGGGCGGAAGCCUGAUGCAGCGACGCCGCGUGGGGGAUGAAGGCCUUCGGGUUGUAAACUCCUUUCGACAGGGACGAAGCGUAAGUGACGGUACCCGUAUAAGAAGCACCGGCUAACUACGUGCCAGCAGCCGCGGUAAUACGUAGGGUGCGAGCGUUGUCCGGAAUUACUGGGCGUAAAGAGCUCGUAGGUGGUUUGUCGCGUCGUCUAUGAAAUUCCGGGGCUUAACUCCGGGCGUGCAGGCGAUACGGGCUGACUUGAGUGCUGUAGGGGAGACUGGAAUUCCUGGUGUAGCGGUGAAAUGCGCAGAUAUCAGGAGGAACACCGAUGGCGAAGGCAGGUCUCUGGGCAGUAACUGACGCUGAGGAGCGAAAGCAUGGGUAGCGAACAGG